UGGAGGGUAUUACAUACCAAACAUAGGUACGUCAUUAGCUCGCUUCCUUCCCUUCUCUUCCCUUCGUCCCUCAGUCCCAUGCUCGUGGCGCUGAAGUGGCAUCGACAGGCGAUGGCGGCGAGGACAGCACGUGGCAGCCCCUGAAGCACGAACACGACUGCACCUCGGGUCUGCCGUCUCCCAAGAUAUGGCUCCGGCCGAUUGACAAUGGAGGUUUGCCAUCCUUCCUCUCAGCACCCACUCCUGGAGGAACGACACGCCAUGCCGAUCGAACCCGGUCGAGAUCACUCACCAAGAUUGCUAUUCGGAAGAAGAGUGGGACGGGAUCUGCACUUUUGUUAAUAUAACAUAUACUUGUGCAGAUGUUGUAUAUUCUUGGAUUGAAGGGACUGUCUGACAAGGUGAAAGAGCUAAUCUCUACUCCUAAUGAUCAUGGGCUAAUCUCUACAGUUUAUUUUUGUCCGGUUUUUU
Molecule: long non-coding RNA, 471 nt
Organism: Triticum aestivum (bread wheat)
Lineage: Eukaryota; Viridiplantae; Streptophyta; Magnoliopsida; Poales; Poaceae
Exons: 3
Source: RefSeq, a predicted model, not a curated record